Molecule: small nucleolar RNA, 84 nt
Filed under: Sorex araneus (European shrew)
Lineage: Eukaryota; Metazoa; Chordata; Mammalia; Eulipotyphla; Soricidae
Description: small Cajal body-specific RNA 18 (ENSSARG00000020262.1)
Rfam family: small Cajal body-specific RNA 18
About the family: scaRNAs are a specific class of small nuclear RNAs which localise to the Cajal bodies and guide the modification of RNA polymerase II transcribed spliceosomal RNAs U1, U2, U4, U5 and U12. This C/D box domain U91 (also known as U4-8) was identified by Darzacq and is predicted to guide the 2'O-ribose methylation of U4 snRNA C8.
Source: RNAcentral
CUGUCGAUGAUUAAGAUAUCACUGCGCCAUCUGAGUUCCUGGGAAACUUGAUAGGGAACGUGUUCUGAGAACCGACUGAGACCA